RNAcentral lists this ribosomal RNA (426 nucleotides) under uncultured Lysinibacillus sp. Its description in RNAcentral is "bacterial SSU rRNA". It matches the Rfam family "Bacterial small subunit ribosomal RNA", at positions 356 to 774 of the family's 1533-position model. The record is from RNAcentral. Lineage: Bacteria; Bacillati; Bacillota; Bacilli; Caryophanales; Bacillaceae.
AGGGAAUCUUCCACAAUGGGCGAAAGCCUGAUGGAGCAACGCCGCGUGAGUGAAGAAGGAUUUCGGUUCGUAAAACUCUGUUGUAAGGGAAGAACAAGUACAGUAGUAACUGGCUGUACCUUGACGGUACCUUAUUAGAAAGCCACGGCUAACUACGUGCCAGCAGCCGCGGUAAUACGUAGGUGGCAAGCGUUGUCCGGAAUUAUUGGGCGUAAAGCGCGCGCAGGUGGUUUCUUAAGUCUGAUGUGAAAGCCCACGGCUCAACCGUGGGGGGUCAUUGGAAACUGGGAGACUUGAGUGCAGGAGAGGAUAGGGGAAUUCCAAGGGUAGCGGGUAAAAGGGUAGGAAUUUGGAGGAACACCAGGGGCGGAGGCGAAUAUCUGGGCUGGAACUGACAAUGGGGCGCGAAAGCGGGGGGAGCAAACA